RNAcentral lists this ribosomal RNA (738 nucleotides) under Enterobacter asburiae. RNAcentral's name for it is "bacterial SSU rRNA". It matches the Rfam family "Bacterial small subunit ribosomal RNA", at positions 45 to 774 of the family's 1533-position model. The record is from RNAcentral. Lineage: Bacteria; Pseudomonadati; Pseudomonadota; Gammaproteobacteria; Enterobacterales; Enterobacteriaceae.
GGCCUAACACAUGCAAGUCGAGCGGUAACACAGGGAGCUUGCUCCUGGGUGACGAGCGGCGGACGGGUGAGUAAUGUCUGGGAAACUGCCUGAUGGAGGGGGAUAACUACUGGAAACGGUAGCUAAUACCGCAUAAUGUCGCAAGACCAAAGAGGGGGACCUUCGGGCCUCUUGCCAUCAGAUGUGCCCAGAUGGGAUUAGCUAGUAGGUGGGGUAACGGCUCACCUAGGCGACGAUCCCUAGCUGGUCUGAGAGGAUGACCAGCCACACUGGAACUGAGACACGGUCCAGACUCCUACGGGAGGCAGCAGUGGGGAAUAUUGCACAAUGGGCGCAAGCCUGAUGCAGCCAUGCCGCGUGUAUGAAGAAGGCCUUCGGGUUGUAAAGUACUUUCAGCGGGGAGGAAGGUGUUGUGGUUAAUAACCUCAGCAAUUGACGUUACCCGCAGAAGAAGCACCGGCUAACUCCGUGCCAGCAGCCGCGGUAAUACGGAGGGUGCAAGCGUUAAUCGGAAUUACUGGGCGUAAAGCGCACGCAGGCGGUCUGUCAAGUCGGAUGUGAAAUCCCCGGGCUCAACCUGGGAACUGCAUUCGAAACUGGCAGGCUAGAGUCUUGUAGAGGGGGGUAGAAUUCCAGGUGUAGCGGUGAAAUGCGUAGAGAUCUGGAGGAAUACCGGUGGCGAAGGCGGCCCCCUGGACAAAGACUGACGCUCAGGUGCGAAAGCGUGGGGAGCAAACA